This 467-nucleotide ribosomal RNA is filed under the name uncultured bacterium. RNAcentral's name for it is "partial 16S ribosomal RNA". It matches the Rfam family "Bacterial small subunit ribosomal RNA", at positions 29 to 507 of the family's 1533-position model. The record is from RNAcentral.
ACGAACGCUGGCGGCGUGCUUCACACAUGCAAGUCGCACGGAAAGGCCCUGCUUUUGUGGGGUGCUCGAGUGGCGAACGGGUGAGUAACACGUGAGUAACCUGCCCGUGACUUUGGGAUAACUUCAGGAAACUGGGGCUAAUGCCGGAUAGGAGCUCCUGCUGCAUGGUGGGGGGUGGAAAGUUUCGGCGGUUGGGGAUGGACUCGCGGCUUAUCAGCUUGUUGGUGGGGUAGUGGCUUACCAAGGCUUUGACGGGUAGCCGGCCUGAGAGGGUGACCGGCCACAUUGGGACUGAGAUACGGCCCAGACUCCUACGGGAGGCAGCAGUGGGGAAUAUUGCACAAUGGGCGGAAGCCUGAUGCAGCAACGCCGCGUGCGGGAUGACGGCCUUCGGGUUGUAACCCGCUUUCGCCUGUGACGAAGCGUGAGUGACGGUAAUGGGUAAAGAAGCACCGGCUAACUACGUG